Molecule: ribosomal RNA, 902 nt
Filed under: uncultured archaeon
Lineage: Archaea
Description: bacterial SSU rRNA
Rfam family: Archaeal small subunit ribosomal RNA
Source: RNAcentral
UUUCCCGGGUUGAUCCUAAACAAGAGAGUCACUGCUAUUGGGGAUUUCGGACUAAGCCCAUGCGAGUCGAGAGGGGUUCGGGCCCUCGGCAGACGGGCUCAGUAACACGGUGGAUAAUCUGUCCUUAGGGUGGAGGAUAAUCUCGGGGAAACUGAGAAAUAAAUACUCCAUAGAUCUAGAAUGCUGGGAAUGCAUCUAGGUUGAAAGUUCCGACGCCUAAGGAUGAGUCUGCGGACUAUCAGGCUGUAGUCAGGGUAAAGACCUGACUAACCUACGACGGAUAUGGGUUGUGAGAGCAAUAACCCAGAGACGAUAUCUGAGACACGAUAUCGGGCCCUACGGGGCGCAGCAGGCGCGAAACCUUCACACUGUGCGAAAGCGCGAUGAGGGAAUCCCAAGUGCUUGCUCGUAAGAGUAAGCUGUUUUUCUGUUUAAAAUGCAGAGAGAGUAAGGGCUGGGUAAGACGGGUGCCAGCCGCCGCGGUAAUACCUGCAGCUCAAGUGGUGACCGCUAUUAUUGGGCCUAAAACGUUCGUAGCCGGUUUAGUAAAUGCCUGGGUAAAUCGAGCCGCUUAACGGUUCGAAUUCCGGGUAGACUGCUAAACUUGAGACCGGGAGAGGCUAGAGGUACUCCUGGGGUAGAGGUGAAAUUCUGUAAUCCUGGGGGGACCACCAGUGGCGAAGGCGUCUAGCUAGAGCGGGUCUGACGGUGAGGGACGAGGCCCUGGGGCGCAAACCGGAUUAGAUACCCGGGUAGUCCAGGGUGUAAACGCUGCUUGCUUGAUGUUAGUUGGGCUCUGAGCCCGAUUAGUGUCGGAGAGAAGCUGUUACAAGCUGCCUGGGAAGUACGGUCGCAAGACUGAAACUAAAGGAAUGGCGGGGCAGCACAGCAACCGGAAUGUA